AGAGUUUGAUCAUGGCUCAGAUUGAACGCUGGCGGCAGGCCUAACACAUGCAAGUCGAGCGGAAACGACACUAACAAUCCUUCGGGUGCGUUAAUGGGCGUCGAGCGGCGGACGGGUGAGUAAUGCCUAGGAAAUUGCCUUGAUGCGGGGGAUAACCAUUGGAAACGAUGGCUAAUACCGCAUAACGCCUACGGGCCAAAGAGGGGGACCUUCGGGCCUCUCGCGUCAAGAUAUGCCUAGGUGGGAUUAGCUAGUUGGUGAGGUAAUGGCUCACCAAGGCGACGAUCCCUAGCUGGUCUGAGAGGAUGAUCAGCCACACUGGAACUGAGACACGGUCCAGACUCCUACGGGAGGCAGCAGUGGGGAAUAUUGCACAAUGGGCGAAAGCCUGAUGCAGCCAUGCCGCGUGUAUGAAGAAGGCCUUCGGGUUGUAAAGUACUUUCAGUUGUGAGGAAGGGUGUGUAGUUAAUAGCUGCAUAUCUUGACGUUAGCAACAGAAGAAGCACCGGCUAACUCCGUGCCAGCAGCCGCGGUAAU
Molecule: ribosomal RNA, 537 nt
Filed under: uncultured bacterium
Lineage: Bacteria
Description: bacterial SSU rRNA
Rfam family: Bacterial small subunit ribosomal RNA
Source: RNAcentral